AGCUGCGUCUUGAACACAUAGCGAACUAUUCUUUCGCCUUUUACUAAAGAAUACCGUGUGUUCGUGACAUUAAGCAGCAUAUCCAAUUUUUUGAAGGGAUUCUUCUCUUAAGAAGAGC
Andrographis paniculata is the source of this 118-nucleotide small nuclear RNA. RefSeq annotates it as U5 spliceosomal RNA. NCBI's taxonomy places the organism in Eukaryota, Viridiplantae, Streptophyta, Magnoliopsida, Lamiales, Acanthaceae. The record is from RefSeq and is a predicted model, not a curated record. The transcript has a single exon.